RNAcentral lists this unclassified non-coding RNA (278 nucleotides) under Hevea brasiliensis (rubber tree). Lineage: Eukaryota; Viridiplantae; Streptophyta; Magnoliopsida; Malpighiales; Euphorbiaceae. The record is from RNAcentral.
AGGUCCAGCCCUUUAACAGUGGUGAUACACUUCCGCUUGUUACGUGUGACCUUUUCAAUAACAACUUCUUGCUUCUCUUUCUUUUUUAUCUUCCCUCCAGGAAGACGUUUUACUUCUUCCUUGGGGGCAGAAGCAGCCCCUGAAAGAGUAGCACCGUCACCGCCGCUGGAUGAGAUGCUGGCGGAUUGUAACUGCUCAGCGACCUUGUUAGCUUCCUUGAGAUUUGCCUCUUUGACGAGAUCGGGGUAAAGGUCAGGGGCGUUUUGGAUCAACCAGGG